UUCAAUUCUGAUCAUCUCAAACCCAU
RNAcentral lists this non-coding RNA (26 nucleotides) under Rattus norvegicus (Norway rat). Lineage: Eukaryota; Metazoa; Chordata; Mammalia; Rodentia; Muridae. The record is from RNAcentral.